Molecule: non-coding RNA, 4582 nt
Organism: Danio rerio (zebrafish)
Lineage: Eukaryota; Metazoa; Chordata; Actinopteri; Cypriniformes; Danionidae
Source: RefSeq, a predicted model, not a curated record
UGAGCUGACAAUUACUGAAACCAAAUACAGCUGUAGAACCGGAGCAUUUGUAAACACGGUGUGGUGUAGUGUCACAGCGAGUGUUGAGGGAAUACUUACAUUUCGAGACACGCAUAACAUGCCGACCUCCCCGGUGAAGACACGGAUACCGCUGUCAAGUUUUGGCCAUCUUGUAACCGAAGUAAAGAGACAGCUCUUUGGGAUUGAUUCGCCAACCCUGAAGGAACUGACAGGAUGGAGGAAACAUUUUAACAGCUACACCUUACAAGGACGCAGAAAUUUUGUUCUUGCCACAUAUGGCGUUCUUGCACUCACAGCUGCUGCCUUCAUGCUGAGACGCAGCAGGAAGAAGGAGCAUGAAACAGCAUCUGCCUCCUCAUAAACUGCAAAUGGAAAGUUUUGAGGGUUAAGAAUACAGUAAAUUAUUUAUGAUCGCUACAUGUGUGGACCAUGUUUAAUGAAGCUUAUGUUUCUACAUAUGCACCAGAUGUGCAUUUCUUUAUCAUGCACACUUUUUUAAUUUAAAAAUGGAUUGGUUGCGCUUUAGUUUUGUGGCCCCAUUUUGACAUCCUGUUGACUAUUUAUAUAUAUAAAUUUGGUAUCACUUUAUUUUGAUGGUCACUUUAACACAUUUUGUUGAAUUUAAGUUACAUUGCAUCUACAUUCCAACUAAUUCUUAUUUGCUUAUAAGUAAGCUGUUAGGUUGGGGUUAGUGUAAGUUGACAUGUACUUGCAAAGUUUCUUAUAGUCAGUAUCAGCAGAUAUUAAGCAGGCAGUCUACAAAUACUCAAAUGAUAAGUAAUUGGCGUGUAGUUGCAAUGCAAAUUUUAGUCAAAAAAUGUGCGAUAGGGACAUUCAUACAAUUUAAUUAGUAUGAAAACUAAUGAAUUUUUUAAAGGGAUGUGUCCUCAAACUCCACCCCUUAUCCUACACCUCAUUGAAGGAUAAGCAAAUCAUACUAAAAUGUACCAAUGAGAUUGUACAAAUUCACUGUAUUGUAACUUACCUGUAAAUGUGUUUUACAGUGGCGUUGCUCUACCGCAAUUACAUUUUACAGUAAAAUAGCCUAACUGCAACUUAUUUUUAUGGUAAAAUGCCAUUUUAAUGCAUUUUUUUGCAAUAAAAUUAGAAAUUUAAAUUUUUUUUUUAGAGUAUUUUACUGUUAUUUUUUAUUUUUUUACUCUAGCAGUACAAACCAAGUGGCCAGUUUUGUCUUAAACUACAGUAGCAGUACUUGAUUAUUUUGAUUACAGUAGAAUACCCCAAAUUCCUAAUAUGCAGUAAGUUACUGUAAAAGUUUAAAAUGACCCACAAUGCAAUGCAUAUUACAGUGCUGAACUGUACUGAACUGAACUGGCUGUUUUUGCAGUAAAUAUCUGUAAAAUUGCGACAAAGUUGGCCAAUAAAAGAUUCUGUUGGUAUGAAAACCUUGGAUAAAAAUAUCACGGUAUGACGGUAUUGUGAUUACUUCUCUCAAAUAUGUUCUUCAGGGUUCUGGGUGUUGAACACAAGAUAUUAUAUUGUAAAAAACAUUUAAAAUAAUUUGGAGUAGUAAACAUGUCAGGCUAAAUAAUUAAAUCAUUGACCUUGAAAAGGCAUCUUUGGAUAUCUUUCUUUUCUUUGGAUAUAAAGUAAGUAAGCCGCUGCACCGUUCACGUGCAUUGCACACAGGAUGCACAUAGCAGCAUAGGAUGUUGGUUUAUAAGCGAUUUGUUUCUCAAAUGUUUGCUGAAUCAUGUGCUGACCAGUAUCUUUUAUAUGUGAAGGGUCCUUUUCUACGGGAGAUACCGUUGCCUUAAAAAACUAAAUAAAGCAUUUGUUAAAAACAUGUAAAAACAAAACAAAAAAUGAUUACCUACACCUUAGAAACAGUAUAACAGAUUUUUUUUUUGCGGUUUUAAAACCUUGGCUUUUCCAAACCAUGGUAAACUUUGAAAACGGUUAUCGUCCCAUGCCUAUUGUUAAUAUGAAUUAGAAAGAGUUACAAGCGGCUGUGAGAUUGCAUUGGUUAUAACUUGUUUUGGUUUUGUUUUAAAACAGGGCACUUUAUGUAUGACAUUAUAUUCUGCAGAAUGUGCAAACAUUUUCAAAUAUAAAUUUGUGUAAUCAGAAGUUCACCAGACAUGUUUCCUUAUUGUUUACUUCCGACAUGCAAAUUUGCGAGCAUGUCAUAACUCUUUAGAGUUUUAAGGUUGGGGUUAAAGUGUGGUCACGUUUACGGUUGGUCUGUGCAAUUAUGAGAGUGAAAUCCUGACAUUUCAACACACACUUGUGUGAUCUGGAGUUUCACAUGAGGGUCAAAAGUUCAAUACAGAAAUUUCACAUGUGCUCAAUCUGUCAACUAACUCUCAUUAGAGUAUUAGUGGAGGAUUAGUUGACAUUAAAAGUUAGGAUUAAAUGGAUAUUGCUCACCAUUACUCACUUUUUACUCACCAUCAAGUGGUUUCAAACCUUUAUAAAAUUCUUUUUUUCUAUUGAACACAAAAGAGUUAAAGAUUGUUGGUAAAUAUUAGCCAUUCAUUUGGAAGUCAUUAUAACAUUUUGUGUUUGACAGAAGAAAGAAACUCAAAUAGAUUUGGAACAAGUGAAGGGUAAGUAAAAUAUAACAGUUUAAAAAAUUUUUGGUGAACCAUUCCUUUAAGGGAGUGUUUCUCGACCACGUUCCUGGAGGACCACCAGCUCUGCACAUUUUCCAUGUCGCCUUAACCAAAAACACCUGAUUCGGAUCAUCAGCUCAUUAGCAGAGACUGAAAGACCUGUAAUGGGUGUGACAGACGCAUAAAACAUAGUGUUAGUGUUCCUCAGGAACGUGGUUGAGAAAUACUGCUUCAAGGGAUAGUUGUAAUUACUGCUCUGUGCAAUUUUACAAUUUAAAUAGUUAAUUCACAAAUUCACCUUAUAUUUUGCCUGAAUUGAAGUUGGUUGUACAAAUAAGUUGAUUUAUAAGAGCUGCUCUUUGUAAAUUUGACUUAUUUGAAAAAUGGGCCUUUUUGCUUGUGAAAUGUCACUAAAAUUCACUAAUGUACUUGCAAACCACUUAUAGUCAGCAGAGAGUGUCUGCUGUGGGACUAUAUUGAUAAAACUUUUUUAAAUAUUAAGUAGAAAAUCCAUUAAUUCUCUCAUGACUGCUACUUUACUUGUGAUUGCAGAUUUUACAUAAUAGAAACUCUAAAGGUGACCUUCAGAAUGCACUGUUACCAAAUGAAACAAGCUGUGAUGAAAGAGUAGUAGCAACAGCUGAGCAAGAAAUACGCACUGGUUUUGAUUGGAUGUUGUGAUAUGGGUGUGAACCAACACAGACUGUGAACAUACACUGUAAAGACUGAUGGGUUCCUCACAAUUUCUUCAUGUAGUCCCAACACAAAUUAAGUUAACUUAAUUUUUUUAAACAAAUUUAAGUGGAUUGAACAUAAAACAAUUAAGUUGUCCCACCAAAAGACUCAAGAAUUGUGUUGAUUCAUUUCAUUUUAAAUAAGUAGUUUUAAAAUUUGUAGUCUUUCAAUGCUAGAUCCAGUUUUGACUUUCUGUUUAACUUUCAUGAAAUUACCUUUCUAAAGGGGACCAUCAAAAUAAAGUGGAACCAAAAGUCAGGAUGAAACAGUAGUAGAAAAAUAUUGCAGUAAACUUCACAUUAUUGUUGAUUAUGCGGUUAAGAUAUUAAAUUCACCUUUAUUUGUAUAGUGCUAUUACAAUGUAGAUUGUGUCAAAGCAGCUUCACAUAGAAAAAUGAAGAUAUGGUUGUGGAUGAAUAGAAUGACAAAAAAAAGUGUUGCAUGCAGAACUGUUGCAAACUAUUUAUUUGUGUUGAAUUUAAACAAAAGAAUUAAAUUUAAUAAUGUUCAACUUAAUUUGUUUGUUUAAAUUCAGCCCAAACAAAUUGUUUACAACCACUUAAAGUGAAAAAAAUUUGUAAAUCCAAGGAAUCGUCUUUGAAUAUUUUUUUUUGGUGUGUGUGUAGAAGGUCCAGUUUUGUCAUUCUGUUUAAUAUUAUGAAAUCACCAUCAAAAUAAAGUGUAACCAAAAGUCAUGAUGAAACAGUAGCUAAAGAUUGUAGUAAACUGCACAAUAUUGUUGAUUGAUGAAAUAUGGUUGUGGAUGAACAGAAUUACACUCUCAGAAAUAAAGGUAUGCGAGCUGUCAAUGGGGUGGUACCUUUUUAUAAGGUACACAUUUUUACCUAAAGGGUCGAUAUUGGUACCUCAAAAGUAUAAAUUAGUACCUAAAACAUUUAAGAGGAACACUUUUGUAGUUUUUAGGUACCCUUGAAGUAUUAAUAUGGACCUUUAAGGUACAAACUUGUACCUUUGGAAACGGUACUACCCCAGUGACAGCUCGUGUACCUUUAUUUCUGAGAGUGCACCAACUAGAAGGUCCAGUUUUGACAUUCUGCUUAAAUGUCAUUAAAUCACUAUCAAAAUAAAGUGGAACCAAAUCCUGUGAUGAAACUGUAGCAAAAUGUUGGUGUUAACUGGACAUCAUUGUUGAUUGUGUUGUGAUAUGAUUGUAGAUGAACAGAAUGGCAUUCUGCUUAAAUAUCAUGAAAUCACCAUCAAAAUAAAGUGUUACCAAAAGCCGUGUAAAA